CGCAGGCCCAGGUGAAGCCGUCUGGUGUGGGGAAUGCCACCAGCACCCCUCACUCCGUGAGCAAGCACAUCCCUUGCCUGUGCAGCUGACAGAGGCUUAAAGGGAGUGCCACAUGUUCCCAGGGGUCUGAGGGCGGUGUGUGUGUGUGUGUGUGGGGGGGGGGACAGACUCCCUAGAGGAAUGUCAGCCCUCUGCACAGUAGGGGACAUUUUGGCCAAACAGGUGCAUCCCUACGCCUCUCUGUGGCUGCCUCCUUCACUGCCUCAUCCUCUCCCUUGUUCUGGGGAGGAAGGGCCUGAGCAUUGGCCUGGGUCAUUUUGGGGACAAUGUUGAGCAUCAGUGAGGACAUUUUUGGCUCCUGGGAACAAGGCACUUCUCAUUGCAAAGCGCCAGCCUGGGGCGCUUCCAGAGUGGUGCACUGCUGCCCUCUAGUGGGAGCACACCACAGUGCAGCCGUCUGUCUGACGGUUUCUGCACCAGCCACACUCGGAGCAGGAUUACAAAGGAUGGGGGCUGGAAUGUCCACAUCACUGCCAACACGGUAGGCUAGCCAACCCCCUUACAUCCUUAUGCAGUUCACAACAGAGAUGCCAAAAAUGCAGGGGGCACCCCCAGGACUCCAUUCUAAGCCCAGCUGUACGGAUGUCAGCUUCUGCCCUGCCCUAUGGCUUCACCACCUGGAACCAUGACUGAUGUCCCCUGGAAUGUCACCAUGCUCAGAGCCUCCAGCUGCCCUCCCCUGGUCAGAGCUCUCGGGGAGCAAUGCUACUAGCCUUGGCUCACCCAAGGCUGCCAAGUGUUUGUGGACGCUAGAAUCUGGCUGCUGGCUGUCACCCACCCCAGCUCACCUGCUUUUUUCCCUCAGCCACACUAGGGGGAGGCAGAGAACAUCACCAGCAUCAGCCUUUACUGACCAACUAAAUGCCUUUUAUGGGUGAAGAACUGCGCCUGGCAGAUGUGGGCACCUACUGUCUACCCUGCUGCCCCAGGUCCUUGGGUGGCCCUAGGGAUGGGGUCCCUGAGGGACAGCACUGUGCUGAGCCUCACCCCCUGGAUUCAUUGUCUACUGUGGAAAUACGAUCGGGGGAUCACAGGGUCCUCAGCUUCAGCUGGAGGGGCGAUUGGACAGGCACCCAGGUGUCAGCAUCUGACCUCUCACUGAGGCACUCCCACCUAAGACCACUCGCUGUGACAUGUGCCCCAUGUGUGUCUGAUAAGUCACAGUGAGAGAGAAGCUAGAGCUCCUCAGAGAUCUAGAAUGGGUAUUAAGUCUGGGGGCCACUGGGGCCCUCUGCUCCUUACUCAGCCAUUCACUCAAGCCCGACUGCAGCAGCAGUGGGGAGGCAGGUGGAGUAUGCAGGGAGAGGCCCCAGACUACACCCUACAAGGACCGUGACCCGGGCAAGGCACCAGUGUUUGCUCAGACAUUUAUAGCUUCAACUGCGCAGUACUGUCAUCUUGUGUACACGUCUCAUUUCUCUUCUAGACUGUGCCUCUCCUGGGUAACUGCAUCUCAUGCAAUUCUCUCUCUCUCUAAAAGGCUGGUGCAAAGCACUCGCCCAUGAAGAUCAGUGAAGUGAGCGAGUGAAGGAAGGAGGAAGAUACAGCACAGACGCUGCUGCUCACCCAUCUGCCUCAUGGCUGGAUGGGGUCACAUGAUUAGUUCUAUCCAAUGGGCUACGAGUGCAGUGACACUUCUGGGCCAAGGCAUGUAAGACCCAGAGUGUGACCCUCCAGCUCUCUCUGCCCCUGUCAGGCCCACCUGGAUGGGGUUGAGAUGGUGGGGCCACAGAAUGGAAUCCGACUGGACCUUUGCCCCACUUUGGAAAGGAGCUUCCCUGGAGGGCAGCUGGACCCUCGGCAGAAUUUCAACAGCCACACGAUGCGUCUUGAAGGGAUGUUCUUCAGCAGUAAUCCAUUCAAGAGCCCCUGGUCCUGGGGUUAUGAAGAGGAGUGAGACCCCCGCCCACCUGCAGCCCACAGUCGAGGAAGGACGUCCGACGACUGAACAAGCUGGUGCAAUGUGACGGGAGCCGUAACAUCGGGGUGGAAGAAGUGAGGGCAGGGAGGCAACGAGCUUCAGGCCAAGCCUCCCCCUUCAUCCUCCUGUCUUCUUUCCUUCUUGCCUCCAGGUAGGGAGGGGAGGCAACAGGUUUCUUUCUACUCCUCAAACUCGGACUUCUGUUGAAGAAAUUCUCUAGGAAGCCCAAGUAUCUCUGCUCAGGCCUAAGACUCCCGUGGGAGGGCUGGGGGGUCCAUGCUACGGGUGGGCUUUCCCUCCCAUUCGGUGGUCUUUGUUGGGUGCACAGUGUCUCCUAGGUGUGUCUGGAAAUGGGAGGUGUUUUUGUGGUCACCAUGAUUGUCCCUCUCACCUCUGGACAGCGACUAGCAUUCAGUGGUUGAGGCCAGGAGCACUAAAUAGCCUAUAUUGUUUUGCACAGUUCCAUCCAAUUAAGAUUUGUCCCACCUCAAAUGUCAAUAGCUAUGCUAGCUGACCCUCAGGACCCAAGGCUGGACAAUGGAAGCAGCCAGCCCUACCUACGAGGGGCUUUGAAGAAUGCAGGGAAAACUCAGAAAAAAACAUCUCAACGUGUUCUCACAGGACCUCAGAUUCUGCCACCAGAGCUCUAUGUUUCGGGAUCAAGAAGCCUGUUGCCCUGUUCUAAGGGUACCCAGACAAAAGGCACACACCCCAAGGAGAGAGGUCAAGCCACAGGCAUGAUCAGCUAUAACUUUAGAUCACUGGCUUUGGAGGAAGCCAGCUGCCACGUUGUAAGGACACUCAAGCAGUUUAUGGAGAGGCUCAAGUGGCAAGGAACUGAAGCCUUCUGCCACCAGCCAGGGUGGAACUGAGGUCUCCUGCUCUCUGCCACGUGAAGGAACCAUCACGGAAGUGGCUCCUCCAGCCCCAGUCAAGCCUUCAGAUGGCUGCAGCCCUGGCCAUCAGCUUGACUGCAACCUUAGGAGAGAUUCUGCACCAGAAUGCCCCACUGAGCUGCUCCCAGAUUCCUGGCCCUGAGAAAGUGUAUGUGAUAAUAAAUGUCUGUUGCUA
This is a non-coding RNA of Equus caballus (horse), 3052 nucleotides long. The record is from RefSeq and is a predicted model, not a curated record. Lineage: Eukaryota; Metazoa; Chordata; Mammalia; Perissodactyla; Equidae.